AUUGAACGCUGGCGGCAGGCCUAACACAUGCAAGUCGAGCGGAUGAAGGGAGCUUGCUCCUGGAUUCAGCGGCGGACGGGUGAGUAAUGCCUAGGAAUCUGCCUGGUAGUGGGGGAUAACGUCCGGAAACGGGCGCUAAUACCGCAUACGUCCUGAGGGAGAAAGUGGGGGAUCUUCGGACCUCACGCUAUCAGAUGAGCCUAGGUCGGAUUAGCUAGUUGGUGGGGUAAAGGCCUACCAAGGCGACGAUCCGUAACUGGUCUGAGAGGAUGAUCAGUCACACUGGAACUGAGACACGGUCCAGACUCCUACGGGAGGUCGCAGUGGGGAAUGUUGGACUAUAGGCGAAAGCCUUAUCCAGCCAUGACGCGUGUGUCAAGACGAUCUUCGGAUUGUUAAGACCUUUAAGUUGGGAGGAAGGGCAGUAAGUUAAUACCUUGCUGUUUUGACGUUACCAACAGAAUAAGCACCGGCUAACUUCGUG
RNAcentral lists this ribosomal RNA (484 nucleotides) under uncultured bacterium. RNAcentral describes it as "partial 16S ribosomal RNA". It matches the Rfam family "Bacterial small subunit ribosomal RNA", at positions 30 to 507 of the family's 1533-position model. The record is from RNAcentral.